Astatotilapia calliptera (eastern happy) is the source of this 1054-nucleotide long non-coding RNA. Lineage: Eukaryota; Metazoa; Chordata; Actinopteri; Cichliformes; Cichlidae. The record is from Ensembl.
GAGCACACACACACCUACGCAAACACACACACAAGUCAGACUUUUACGAAACACAUGCUUUCAACACACGUAUGCAGGUGCACGGGCAUGCACGCACACACACACACGUAUGGUCACACACAUGUUUCUUGUCUCUAAUGUCUCCUGUGCUGUGGCAGGGGACAAAUCAAUCAUGGGUACAGAAGUUCAAGGGGGUAAGAGAUUGUCUGGUCCGUUUUUCCCUAUGCUAUUGAUCCCAUUUUACUGGCAUCAUCGCCAAGCUGUCUCACAAACCCCGGGAUGGCGAUGGAUUGAAAGUGGAUGAUUGAGAGAGGAGGUAGGGUGACAUUCACUGUAAUCUCAGCCCUCCACCUACACCAAGCCACCCCCACCGCCUACACCAACCUCCACCUAACAUGCAGAGAAAUCCAAUGACAUUGAAAGUUAGGACUGAAGCAGGAGUUUUUGGAGCAGAUAGAAUGAGGCCCAUCAACUUAAAUCUGCGCUAUCUCGCAGUAAAGGAAACACUCUUGGCAGAGAUUAGGAGCGUUUUUUUUUAUUGUUUGUUUUGUUUUGUUUUGUUUUUCCCGUCUCUUUGCAUUUCUCCUCCAGCCAUCAUACUGUAUGUCUGACUGUCUGAAGGUGUGCUGCCAUCUCCUCUUUUUUCAAAUUGAUGAAAAAGACACUGGAGAGAGAACACCUCCUGACAGCACAUCCCAAAGUGUGUGGGAGACGUAAAAAAGAGUGACACAGAACAUUUCUCUGAAAUUUCAAAUGAGGCUCAUGUGGAAAAUAUUGAUGCAUGCUCAAUUUCCUCAUAAGUACACUCAGUGUUUCCUUAUCUCUUGUGUAUAAACAAAUGAGGGGGGAUUUUUUGCAGGAAAUGAUGGAUAGCCGUCUGGUGGUUGAGAAUCGAAAGGAAUACUGUUAAAGAGGAGAUCACGGGAUAAGCAUAUUGCACACAGAUUUUCCAAGAGAUUAUUGUUUCUGCCAGAACUGGGAAUGUUUUAUGACAGUUUUGUUUUUCUAGCAAAGUGUUGAUUCCCAUUGGUCAGAUGAGAAAGAAAGAUUGCUA